CUUGUUCCCGUACGAUCAUCGAAGUUAAGCAACGUUGAACGUGGUCAGUACUUAGAUGGGUGGCUACUUGAGAAUACCAGGUGCUGUAAG
This is a non-coding RNA of Acanthosepion pharaonis, 90 nucleotides long. The record is from the annotation of a GenBank genome assembly. Lineage: Eukaryota; Metazoa; Mollusca; Cephalopoda; Sepiida; Sepiidae.